GCUGCCUUUAAGGGGCAAAGGAAGGAGGCAAGUUGGCAGACGUUGGGACUAGUGAUGAGAGCUCACUCCGUUACACAGCACUUGGAUCUCGAACUGCCAAUCAACAGAAUCAGCAUCUUAACCACUUGAGCCACCGUGUCCCAUCCCUAUUGCAGGGUUUUCGUGACAAAAUCUCUCAGAUAAGAGCCGACUUAGAUGCCACCGUUGAAACAGAGUCGAC
Sceloporus undulatus (fence lizard) is the source of this 220-nucleotide long non-coding RNA. RefSeq lists it as uncharacterized. NCBI's taxonomy places the organism in Eukaryota, Metazoa, Chordata, Lepidosauria, Squamata, Phrynosomatidae. The transcript has 3 exons. The record is from RefSeq and is a predicted model, not a curated record.